CCCAGACAGCCAGGAUGUUGGCUUAGAAGCAGCCAUCAUUUAAAGAAAGCGUAAUAGCUCACUGGUCGAGUCGGCCUGCGCGGAAGAUGUAACGGGGCUAAACCAUGCACCGAAGCUGCGGCAGCGACACUAAGUGUUGUUGGGUAGGGGAGCGUUCUGUAAGCCUGCGAAGGUGUGUCGUGAGGCAUGCUGGAGGUAUCAGAAGUGCGAAUGCUGACAUAAGUAACGAUAAUGCGGGUGAAAAACCCGCACGCCGGAAGACCAAGGGUUCCUGUCCAACGUUAAUCGGGGCAGGGUGAGUCGACCCCUAAGGC
Molecule: ribosomal RNA, 314 nt
Filed under: Salmonella enterica subsp. arizonae serovar 51:g,z51:-
Lineage: Bacteria; Pseudomonadati; Pseudomonadota; Gammaproteobacteria; Enterobacterales; Enterobacteriaceae
Description: bacterial LSU rRNA
Rfam family: Bacterial large subunit ribosomal RNA
Source: RNAcentral